Molecule: ribosomal RNA, 468 nt
Filed under: uncultured bacterium
Lineage: Bacteria
Description: partial 16S ribosomal RNA
Rfam family: Bacterial small subunit ribosomal RNA
Source: RNAcentral
GACGAACGCUGGCGGCGUGCUUAACACAUGCAAGUCGAACGGAAAGGCCCUGCUUUUGUGGGGUGCUCGAGUGGCGAACGGGUGAGUAACACGUGAGUAACCUGCCCUUGACUUUGGGAUAACUUCAGGAAACUGGGGCUAAUAUCGGAUAGGAGCUCCUGCUGCAUGGUGGGGGUUGGAAAGUUUCGGCGGGUGGGGAUGGACUCGCGGCUUAUCAGCUUGUUGGUGGGGUAGUGGCUUACCAAGGCUUUGACGGGUAGCCGGCCUGAGAGGGUGAACGGCCACAUUGGGACUGAGAGACGGCCCAGACUCCUACGGGAGGCAGCAGGGGGGAAUAUUGCACAAUGGGCGGAAGCCUGAUGCAGCAACGCCGCGUGCGGGAUGACGGCCUUCGGGUUGUAAACCGCUUUCGCCUGUGACGAAGCGUGAGUGACGGUAAUGGGUAAAGAAGCACCGGCUAACUACGUG